Small nuclear RNA from Saimiri boliviensis boliviensis (Bolivian squirrel monkey), 104 nucleotides. NCBI's taxonomy places the organism in Eukaryota, Metazoa, Chordata, Mammalia, Primates, Cebidae. The record is from RefSeq and is a predicted model, not a curated record.
GCUCUCUUCUGCAGCACAUAACCUAAAAUUGGAACGGUACAGAGAGAUUAGCAUGGCCCCUGCGCAAGGAUCACACACAAAUUCAUGAAGCAUUCCAUAUUUUU